GAUGAACGCUGGCGGCGUGCCUAAUACAUGCAAGUCGAGCGAACAGACGAGGAGCUUGCUCCUCUGACGUUAGCGGCGGACGGGUGAGUAACACGUGGAUAACCUACCUAUAAGACUGGGAUAACUUCGGGAAACCGGAGCUAAUACCGGAUAAUAUAUUGAACCGCAUGGUUCAAUAGUGAAAGACGGUUUUGCUGUCACUUAUAGAUGGAUCCGCGCCGCAUUAGCUAGUUGGUAAGGUAACGGCUUACCAAGGCAACGAUGCGUAGCCGACCUGAGAGGGUGAUCGGCCACACUGGAACUGAGACACGGUCCAGACUCCUACGGGAGGCAGCAGUAGGGAAUCUUCCGCGAUGGGCGAAAGCUUGACGGAGCAACGCCGCGUGAGUGAUGAAGGUCUUCGGAUCGUAAAACUCUGUUAUUAGGGAAGAACAAAUGUGUAAGUAACUAUGCACGUCUUGACGGUACCUAAUCAGAAAACCACGGCUAAGUACGUG
Molecule: ribosomal RNA, 497 nt
Filed under: uncultured bacterium
Lineage: Bacteria
Description: partial 16S ribosomal RNA
Rfam family: Bacterial small subunit ribosomal RNA
Source: RNAcentral